This 585-nucleotide ribosomal RNA is filed under the name uncultured bacterium. Its description in RNAcentral is "partial 16S ribosomal RNA". It matches the Rfam family "Bacterial small subunit ribosomal RNA", at positions 356 to 1375 of the family's 1533-position model. The record is from RNAcentral.
UGGGAAUUUUGGACAAUGGGCGAAAGCCUGAUCCAGCAAUGCCGCGUGUGUGAAGAAGGCCUUCGGGUUGUAAAGCACUUUUGUCCGGAAAGAAAUCCUUGGCUCUAAUACAGUCGGGGGAUGACGGUACCGGAAGAAUAAGCACCGGCUAACUACGUGCCAGCAGCCGCGGUAAUACGUAGGGUGCAAGCGUUAAUCGGAAUUACUGGGCGUAAAGCGUGCGCAGGCGGUUUGCUAAGACCGAUGUGAAAUCCCCGGGCUCAACCUGGGAACUGCAUUGGUGACUGGCAGGCUAGAGUAUGGCAGAGGGGGGUAGAAUUCCACGUGUAGCAGUGAAAUGCGUAGAGAUGUGGAGGAAUACCGAUGGCGAAGGCAGCCCCCUGGGCCAAAUACUGACGCUCAUGCACGAAAGCGUGGGGAGCAAACAGGAUUAGAUACCCUGGUAGUCCACGCCCUAAACGAUGUCAACUAGUUGUUGGGGAUUCAUUUCCUUAGUAACGUAGCUAACGCGUGAAGUUGACCGCCUGGGGAGUACGGUCGCAAGAUUAAAACUCAAAGGAAUUGACGGGGUCAUAGCUGUUUCCU